CCUACGGGAGGCAGCAGUGGGGAAUAUUGCACAAUGGGGGAAACCCUGAUGCAGCGACGCCGCGUGAGGGAAGAAGUAUUUCGGUAUGUAAAGCUCUAUCAGCAGGGAAGAAAAUGAAGGUACCUGAUUAAGAAGCCGCGGCUAAAGACGUGCCAGCAGCCGCGGUAAUACGUAGGGGGCAAGCGUUAUACGGAUUUACUGGUUGUAAAGGGAGCGUAGACGGCAGUACAAGUCUGGAGGGAAAUGCCGGGGCUUAACCCGAGGAUUGCUUUGGAAACUGUGCAGUUAGCGUGCAGGAGAGGUAAGUUGAAUGCCUGGUGUAGCGGUGAAAUGCGUAGAUAUUAGGAGGAACACCAGUGGCGAAGGCGGCUUACUGGACUGUAACUGACGUUGAGGCUCGAAAGCGUGGGGAGCAAACAGGAUUAGAUACCCGAGUAGUC
RNAcentral lists this ribosomal RNA (440 nucleotides) under uncultured bacterium. RNAcentral's name for it is "partial 16S ribosomal RNA". It matches the Rfam family "Bacterial small subunit ribosomal RNA", at positions 338 to 795 of the family's 1533-position model. The record is from RNAcentral.